AUAGCAGCGAAAGCUGUGCUAAUACCGCAUACGAUCUACGGAUGAAAGCAGGGGAUCGCAAGACCUUGCGCGAAUGGAGCGGCCGAUGGCAGAUUAGGUAGUUGGUGAGGUAAAGGCUCACCAAGCCUUCGAUCUGUAGCUGGUCUGAGAGGACGACCAGCCACACUGGGACUGAGACACGGCCCAGACUCCUACGGGAGGCAGCAGCU
RNAcentral lists this ribosomal RNA (209 nucleotides) under uncultured Variovorax sp. Its description in RNAcentral is "partial 16S ribosomal RNA". It matches the Rfam family "Bacterial small subunit ribosomal RNA", at positions 143 to 355 of the family's 1533-position model. The record is from RNAcentral. Lineage: Bacteria; Pseudomonadati; Pseudomonadota; Betaproteobacteria; Burkholderiales; Comamonadaceae.